Molecule: long non-coding RNA, 20150 nt
Filed under: Panax ginseng (ginseng)
Lineage: Eukaryota; Viridiplantae; Streptophyta; Magnoliopsida; Apiales; Araliaceae
Description: long non-coding RNA (PGIN_LNC007590)
Source: RNAcentral
GGAUGUUCAUACAUGCCUAGUUCAAAACCCGAAGGUUUUUAAUCUUGCUCAACAAUAAUAUGUAAUUCAACAUAUAUGUGUACGGGUAAUUGAAAAAGUGUAUCAACAUGUGAAUAAAUACCAUGAUUAUCCAAGUGGGGACACUUGUAUAACCAUUUAGAAAUCAAUGAACAGAAUAUAUAUCUGAGCUAACAUGUUGAUAAUCAAAGCGUACAUAAUCUGUACAGGAAUAGAAAAGAAUUCUGAAACUCUCUUACUCAUGUCCAUUGCAUAAAGGAAAUGCAAAGGUAGGAUACUUGCCUGAUUCGCUGAUGACAAAUCUCAACUCAGGUUUUAUCUCUUUAUCACAACCUAUCAAUAAUCAGAGCAUUCGUUCGAUUAGAACAAUAUAUCUUAACACAAAGUACUGUCUAUUACAGUCAGCACAUAAUCACAGUGAUCAUACUUUUAGUUCCUAUUCUAUACUUGAAAUAUUUUUAUACAUUUUUCAAAUAUCUCAUCCAUGCUCUUACAGUAGCCUUUUCUUUCUAUUAUAGGGUCUUACAUUUGUCGGCGUACCGACAACUUUAUCGGGUAAAUACUGAGUCUAAGACUCUUAUUCUAUACCUCAACAUCUGCAAAUAUCAGACAUCUUAUUUUUAACCAUUUUCGAAAUUUCCAGAAAUUGAAAAUUUUUAAAUAAUUCAAAUCUGUCACUAAAGGGCCUAUAGUAAUAUAACUGUUACUAUAGGUGUUCUUCUUCAAAUUCAGAACUUCAUAAUCGGUUCUCAAGUCAGCUAGUUUGGCCGGCUAUAACUUUCAAACAUCGGAAUCAUAAUUAAAUGAUUUAAACAUUAAACAAUUCCAUUAUCAUUAAUAAUUAAUUUAUAUUAAACUAUUAAUGAAACCAUUGCCAAAAUAUAAAAGUUAUUUAUAAUAACUCAAACUAUUUUUAAAACAUUUAUAUUACCCUUAAAUGAUUUUUAAAACAAUUAAAAUCAUUUUUAAAUAAUCACCAUUAAUAUAUAAAUAUUAAUGUACUAUUCAUCCAAAUAUUAAAAGUCAUUAAUUAUAACUUAAAAUAUUUUUAAAUCCUUAAUAUCCUCUUUAAAUGAUUUUUAAAUAAAUAAAACCAUUUUUAAACUAUUUAUUUAAUAAUAAUUAUUAAAUAAACUAAAUAUCAUUAAUAUUAUCUUAAUAUCAUUAAUAUUAAAUUAUUAAUGAAAUUAUCCUUUAAAUAUUAAAAGUUAUAUUUUAUAACUUAAAAUAUUUUUAAAUACCUUAAUUUCAUUUAAAAUGAUUUUUAUAAUAUUAAAAUCAUUUUUAAACUAAAUUAUUUAAUAUAAUCAUUAAAUAACUUUAAUAUCAUUAAUAUAUAAUUAAUUAAUGAAAUUCAUCACAAAAUAUUAAAAGUCAUGGGAAAUAACUUAAAAUAUUUUCUUAUACCAUAAAAUAAUUUUUCAUGAUUUUUCAUGAAUUAAAACUAUUUUUAAAUCAUUUAUUUAAUAUUAUAAUUAAAUAAAUAAAUACCUUUUAUAUUCCAAAAAUAUUAAAUAUUUAUGAAAUAUACUCAAAAUAAUUAAAAACUAUUUUUCGGACUUUAAAAUAAUUUUUCAGAAUUUAUUUGGUAUUUUUAAUAAUUAAAAUCUAAAUUUUCUAAUUUUUAAAUUAAUUUCCAGAAAAUAAUAAUAAUAACCAUCGUUAAAGGCCCCUAUAGCGACAGAACCGUCUCUAUAGGUGUUCUUGAGCCUGCCCAGAAAUCCUAAGGCAGAACCGAGUAGCCUACUUUGACCGUGUGUAGUUUUAUGUGUGUUGCAAUUCUGGCAAUGUUCUUGGUCAGAUCGUGUAGAGGAAAUACAAGACUACAAGAUCCAACAAACAUCAUGGCUAUCCAACAUCAGAUCUGGGAGAAAAUGGUCAUCAAAGUAGCUGUCAGAGCUGUUCUUCGUGAAGAACAGUUCGAGAUGGCUACUUUGAACCUCUAUAUCUUGAUGAUCGUGUAACGUUUAUGUGAUCUAUCAAUUCUAGUGUGUAGACAACAUGUAAGACUACAACUUUAACACUUAACAUCAUCAUAACAACAACAGAUCUAACGGGAAAUGGCUGGUCAAAGUGCAACACGGAAACUGUUCAUGAAAAAUCUGGUUUCGCUAGUUUGGCAAAUUUGGUCAACGGGUUUGACCGCUUAUAUCUCUCAAUCUAAAACUGAUCUUGACUUGAUUCUUUUUGCAUCUUAAAGACCACAUAUCAGGCUACAUGUUACAAGUUUUAAACAUCAAAAACACUAAACAAACACUAAUCUAUGGGGUCUGACAUUUGCUUGUCAGACCAUAUUUUUGGUUUUUGCAAAGUUUGAAAAAAUUUGAUUUUGAGCACUUUGAUGUUAUGGGUCAUGAAUUUAACAACUCAGAACAUUAAUAGACUCCUUAUUACACAACUUUAAACAAUAUAUUGCAUCAAUUAACAUCGAAUCGAAGGAUUUCUAGAAUUUAAGGUUUCCUACCUUUUUGAGCUUCGAUUCUUGAAUUUCUGACUUUGAUUCGUUGUUGUGAUGGUUGGGCUUUGAUUAUAGACUGAUCUAGCAAGCUAAUUUCGUAGCUUUUAGAGAGAGAGAGUCUAAGAUGAGUGUUGGGAGAAAAAUGAGAUUAAAGUAGCCUUUCUCUCUCUCUUAUUCUUGAAAAUAAUUCAAUUAUUUGAUGCAAUAAUGCUUGAUCUGAUAUGGCUGUCCAUUAUUGAGCUCAAAUGAUAAUUAUAGAGUGGUUGGCCGAAAUUUUGGGGAUUGGUAGCAAUGAUACAAAAUUAUUUCACCAAUAAUGCACUAAAUGGACAAAAAGGGUAAAAUAGUCAUUUCCACCCUAAUAAUUGGUUCCUUCCUUUAAUAAUGCAUAAGGGUAGUUUAGACUUCUCAUGUCUACCAUGAAGGGCAUUGUAGACAUUACCCAUAACCAUUAGCGUUUAUCACUUUAGAUUUUAAAAUUCCAUUAAUAAUAUAACUAAUAAUACACUAAAAGGGUAUUUUGGUAAUUUCACAUAUAAUUUCAUGGGCAUUUUUGUACAUAGCAAUUAAAUGUAGUAUUUAAUCACUAGAUGGUAAUUUUAUCAUUUACCAAUUACUUCUAUCCUUUGGUAAAUUAAAACUUUUAUACAUUAACAUCGUAAUUAAACCCGAUAAUUUAAAAUUAGGGUCUUCGAUUGAAAAUUUAGGGUUCUAUAAUUAGGGUUUCGUAACGCCAUCAAUUAGGGUUUCUAAUUGACCAUUAGGGUUCUCUAAUUGUCUGUGUAUGUUCUAACACAGUCAUUACGAUCUCUAACUUCAACCGAUUAGGGUUGUAAUAAUUAGGGUUUGUCCUAAUUAUCGACAUACAACAGUAAUUAGGGUUUUCUUCUAAUUACCGACAUCUUAUACACAGUAACCUUCAUAUACACAGUCACUACUCAGUCAUAUCUCAUAACUGAGUUUAAUAAUUAGGGUUUCACAGCACGGUAAUAUGCUAUGACCUAAUUGACCGUCAUUGCUCAAUAUUAUCUGUCCGCACAUACACAGUACAUAAUUAUUGUACUGUAAAAUCAUUAUAACAAUAAUAUAAUAUUAUUAUUCUCAUCUCUUGAUCACAAUCCCAAUUCAGGGUUUGGAUCUCAUAUCUGACUUCUCUUUCGCAUAUCAAGUUAAAAUACUUGAUUUAAAUAUUCUGAACAAUUCAUAUAAUAAAAUAUAUAUUAUAUAAAUUCUAAUUAUCACUUCAUAUAUUAUUUCCAAUCAUGUUUUCAUGGAAAAUAAUUAAUAAAACAUUUCUGCUUACAGAAAUUAAUUACCAUAACAAUAUAAUUUGUGGUAAUUGAUUAUUCCAAAAUUAUUUCUAAUUUUUCAAGUAAUAAAUAUAUUUGUAUCUAUCGUUCACUUAUUCUCGUCAUUAAAUAAAUAAAAAAAAUUUAUACGCAAAAUUUCUUAUUUAUUUUAUAUAUAGGAAAUCUCGGGUUAUUACACAAACACAACUACAAGUAAUUCUUUUUCGGUGGUUGUGUAGUUCAACUGGGCAUCUGUCAACGUCUUGCUGAAGUAAUAGAUUGUGUGAAAAAUCUUAUCGUGACGUUGUCUCAAUACUGCUCCAACUGUGUAGUCGUUGGCGUCGCACAUCAAUUUGAACGGUAAAGACCAAUCAGGCGCCACAAUAAUUGGAGCAGAGACCAACUUCUUCUUUAGUACCUCAAAUGCCUCAAUGCAUGACUGAUCCAUCUUGAAAGGCAUGUCUUUCUCCAACAGGGAACAUAAGGGUUUUGAUAUUUUGGAAAAAUCGUUAAUGAAGCGUCUAUAGAAACUCGCUUCACAUAUGAUGGAGGGGGUAAUUUCUCAAUUGUCUCAAUCUUCGCUUUGUCCACCUCUAAUCCUGUUGUGGAGACCUUAUGCCCCAAAAUAAUCCCUUGUUUCACCAUAAAGUGACAUUUUUCCCAGUUAAGAACCAGAUUAGUCUCCACGCAUCGCUUCACCACUAAAAUCAGAUUUUUCAAACAGAAAUCAAAGCUAUCGCUGAACACAGAAAAGUCAUCCAUAAAUACCUCCAAAUUUUGUUUGACCAUAUCAGAGAAGAUCGCCAUCAUGCACCGUUGAAAGGUUUCUGGCGCAUUACAUAAACCAAAGGACAUACGCCGGAAUUCAAACGUACCGUAUGGGCAUGUGAAUAUGGUUUUCUCUUGAUCCUCCGGUGCUAUGACAAUUUGAUUAUACCCAGAAUAUCCAUCUAGAAGACAGUAGAACUGAUGUCCCGCUAGCCUAUCCAACAUUUGAUCAAUGAACGGCUAGGGGAAGUGAUCCUUGCGAGUGGCUUUAUUCAGUUUUCGGUAGUCCAUGCAUACUCUCCAUCCUGUAACUGUUCGAGUAGGGAUGAGCUCAUUAGCUUCAUUCUUCACCACUAUCAUACCCCCUUUCUUUGGUACACAUUGUACAAGACUUACCCAUGAGCUAUCCGAGAUAGGGUAAAUAAUGCCAGCAUCCAACCAUUUUAUGAUCUCCUUUUUAACCACAUCCUUCAUAAUGGGGUUUAGCCUUCUUUGCAUCUCAAUGGUUGGUUUUGCCCCCUCUUCCAUUAAAAUCUUGUGCAUACAAUAAGAUGGACUAAUUCCCCGAAUAUCCGCUAUAGACCACCCAAUUGCUAUUUUAAACUCUCGCAAGACCCGUAGCAGUUUCUCCUUUUGCAUGUCAGUUAACUUCGUUGAAACAAUAACUGGUAGGUUAGCGUCUUUUCCUAGAUAAGCAUAUUGCAGAUGAGACGGUAGUGGCUUUAAUUCCAACACCGGUGGCUCUUCUGUCGAGGGUUUGAACUUUUUACCUUCCGUUUCGGGCCUCUCAAGGGUGUCGAAUAAUUGAUUGCUUUUCUGGAAGACUGAUGAUAUAUCUAUCCAUUUGACAUAUUCAAUGUCCUCUUCAAUGCCGCAAUCGUCUAUCCCAAGCAAAAUGGAUUCAAGCGGGUCCACCGAAUAAUUUCCACUGAACUUGUGAUUAACCAAUUCCUCCAUGAUAUCAACCCGCAAACAUUCACCUUUUUCUUUCGGGUAAGACAUUGACUUAAAAACAUUAAAGGUGACCUAUUGAUCUUCAACUCUCAUCGUUAAUUCACCUUUUUGCACAUUAAUCAAAGUUCUACCCGUUGCUAAGAAUGGUCGCCCAAGAAUUAUUGUAAUUUCGCUGUCCACUUCACAAUCCAAAAUAAAGAAGUCCGCAUGGAAGAUGAAUUUAUCCACUUUAACUAAAACAUCCUCAACAAUACCUCGUGCAUAAGUAACCGAUCUAUCCGCUAACUGCAAACUGAUAUUUGUUGGUCGUGGAGCCUGAAGCCCAAACUGGCUGUAGACGGACAAUGACAUCAAAUUUAUACUAGCCCCCAAAUCACACAAUGCUCGACCCGAAAACUGAUUUCCAAUUUCACAUAGAAUAUUAAAGCUACCUGGGUCCUUAAGCUUCGGUGGUAACUUAUUCUGAUUUACCGUGCUGCAUUCUUCGGUCAAUGCCACUGUUUCAAACUCACCCAAUUUCCUUUUUCUUGACAAAACCUCCUUCAUAAACUUGGCAUAACUCAACAUUUGUUCUAAGGCUUCGGCAAAGGGAAUGUUGAUAUGCAGCUUUUUGAAAAUAUCCAAGAAUCGUGAAAACUGCUUAUCCAACUUGGAUUUCUAAAACCUCUGCGGAUACGGUAUGGAAGGUAUUGCGAUGGUUGGUUCCUGUUCUUUCUGCUCUAAAGUCCCAUCUUGACAUUUUCCGAUGUCCACCACUUCCUCUGUUUCACUUAUUGCGUUGUCCCUCUUUUCCCUAUCCAUAACUGUAUCAUGCAAAUUCUUUCCACUUUGUACAGUUCUGGCCUUACAACGCUCAUCUCUGCACCAAUUUUUCUCUGUGUCAAUCGGAAGUGUUCCAAGUGGUCAGUUAUUCAGCGCAUGUCCUAUCUACCCCACUUGAUUUUCUAGAUUCUUGAUCGACGCACUUUGGCUUUGCAUAUUCAGCUCUAUUUGAUUAAUUUUUUUCUCAUUUACCUCAUUCAUUUUUUCAGACGCUUUAACAAAUCUAUCCAAGGCUUCUUCCCAACUUGCUUUCCACUAUAGUUGUUGUGUCUAAUUUUGAAAUCCGGAUGUGUUUUGUUGUCUCGGCACUUGAGCUUGAGCUUGAUUGUUACUCCAUAAAAACCCCGGAUGAUUUCUCCAACCCGGAUUAUAUGCGUUUUAAUUUGGGUAAGGUUGGGUAGAUCGAUUAUAGCUCCCUACGAACUGAGCUGAUUCAGAAUUUAUGGCACAUUGAUCCGUAGCAUGACCCCCAGCACAUAAUUCACAAACCAUUGCUACCUGCUGUGUGGAUUGUGGACGCCAUGUUUCCAUCUGCUUAGCCAUUGUGGCCACUUGUGCUGUUAAUGCUGUCAUCGCAUCUACGUCAAACUUUUCUAGUGUUCUCGGAGGGUUAGACCUAGUCAUGGGCCACUGAUAGUUGUUGGUGGCCAUUGUCUCUAACAGCUAAUAUGCCUCAUCAAAACUUUUAGACAUGAUCGCUCCCCCUACUGCUGCAUCAAUACUGGCCCUCGUUGACGCAUGCAAACCAUCACAAAAUAUCCCUAAUUGCAUCCACUGUGGAAUUUCGUGGUGUGGGAACUUACGGAGCAUAUCCUUAAAUCUUUGCACGCCUCAUAUAAUGAUUCAGAGUCAAACUGUGUGAAGGUGUAAAUAUCGUUCCGUAGUUUUGCCGACUUCGCAAGUGGGAAACACUUAGCUAGAAAUUUUUGAGCUAAGUCGUACCAAGUGGUGAUUGAGCCAGGAGGCAAAGAGUGUAGCCAACUUCGCGCUUUAUCUUUUUAGGUAAACGGGAACAUCCUCAACCUUGUAGCAUCUUCCGAUACAUUGUUGAAUUUGAAGGUGUCGCAAACUUCCAAGAAACUUAAGAUGUGCUCAUUAGGAUCAUCUAUCGAACUACCCCCAAACUGACAUGUAUUCUGUAGCAUCUAAAUUAUUCCCGGUUUAAUCUCAAAACUGUUUGCAUUGAUCGUCGGCCUCCUAAUACUAGACUGUAUAUCCGUGACAUUCGGCAUGGCAUAGUCCCUAAGCGAUUUCUGGUCGUUCCCUGCCAUGUUCGCUGGAAUUUCUUGUUCUGCCAAUUCUUCUUCCACAGGUGACACUGCACUAGUCGACUGUAAUUUUCGGAACUUCUUUUCAAUAUUGACCGUAUAAGGAAAAAGUUCCUUUUUCGCCCUUGAUCUAGUGUGCAUACACUCGCAAAGAAUUCCUGCAAAUACAAGAAGAAAAAUAAGUAACGUUUAAAUUAAGACCGAAUUGAUUAUAACUAAUAUGGAAUUAAUACUAAUAAAGAAGUUCCCCGGCAACGGCGCCAAAAAAUUGUUGGUUGAUUUCACAAUACAAGCAAACGUGCAAGUAUACACGGUCAACAAGUAAUAGAGUGAUAAGAUAGAGUGUCGAUCCCACAGAGAAUUCUAAUUAAUAAAUUCCAACUACUAGCACUAUAUCAAUUCAAUUUUAUUUAAACAACCAAUAAUUGUGAUUUUUCGAAUUAAGAAAAUUAAAUUAAGCAAAUAAAAAGAAAUUAAUCUAAAAGAAAGCAAAUAAACCAAACUAAGAUUUGAUUGAAUUCAGAUAAAUAAGGAUUAAGACUCCAAUAUCCCCAAUUAUGAACUAUAAAUCAAUUAUCCAAUUAUCCCAAUUACUAUGUCUACUGAAUUGUUAACAUGAAUUCUCAAGUGCCAAAAGUCCUUUUUCAAGUGAUCAAUUGCCUUCUAUUUAAUCCAGAUUAAUCCUGCUAUAUUCCUAUGCAAAACAUUUGAAUUAAACUCUUUUCAAUCCCAAUUCCUUAUGUGUUACAUGCGGCAAACAGAUAUUUCCAUUCUAUUCACAAACCUAAUUAUUCACUGUGCAAAUAACUAAGUCACAUGUCAUCAUGCCCAGUUCUAACCCCAUAAUUCCUCUUUUAAUUCCUUCUAGAAUAACAAGGUAAUUAUUGGCCAGAUAAUUAAUCAAUAAAUGCAAGGCAAGAUGAAUAAUUCACUUCAACAUAAAUAAUUGGAAUAAAUCAAAUAAUUAAUUCAUAAUCAUAAAAGGUUCAAUUGGAAUCUUAAUUAAAGAAAUUAGUUCAUAACGGAAAUUAAAAACAACAAUAUUUGAAAAAUCAUGUUUAAUGAAUUACACAAAUUGAAAGAAUAAAGAAGAAGAGAAAAACUCCAAGUAUAUCCUGCAAAAUUCUCCUCUUGAAUCUUUGAUCAGCCUCCAAUUGUGUAGAAUAGUUUCCUACUCCAAUAGAAAUAAUCCUUAUAUACUUCACUUGUCCAACUCUAGCAAUCCAAAUCCCAUUUGGCUUCAAACAACCUCCAAUUGAGAAGUCAAACGAAAAGUCAACGCACGUCCCAGUCAACCAGGAUUCCGGCCCAGCGCCCCAGCGCUGAUACUUGCACUAUGUUGAGGGCCCCGGCGCUAGCGAGCAGAAAGUGGCUAUUAUGCCCUUUUUCAACUCAAAAUUCCCCAAGUGUUCUUACAGCUCCCAAAUCUGCAAUAAAACAACUAAACACAGUAAAAACAAAUAUAAAUGCUUUGAGAAUACAAUAAAUUAAGCCCAAAUAUAUCCAAUUCAUGGGUUUAUUACCUAAUCAUCACAAAUCACAUGGAAUACUCCAUUGAUUUCAUAUCUACAUCCUAACCAAGCAAGAUGCACAUAUUUAAGUAUUGAUGGAGUUUAAUUGUUCAUCAACAAUCAAGCUCAACAAUCAAUAUUUUUAUGGUUUAACACUUAUGUUAACCCUUACGAUUUCUAUUCCUUCAUGACUUAUAAAGAUUGUAUAUAUUACAAGUCAUCCUUAUUCCUCAAUAAGAGGCAUACACCACCAAUUUAUGAUCCGUCAUACUCAAAGAAAUCAAAAGAGAUGGAACCAUUAUUAAGGAAUAUUACCUUAAGGAAUCUUGGUGUUCUUGAAAGAAACUCUAAAUCAAAACUUCAAAGUUGUAUGUUUGAUUGAGUCUAGCACUUUCUCUCUCUCAAAAUAUAUAUUAGGCAACUUGAAAAACCAUCAAAUGACCAACCCUUGCUUUCUAUUUAUAAGCAAUUGAAAUGGAGGACAAGAAGGUCUUUAUCCCCCACCUCCUUACUAUUCCCUACUUUAUCACCAAGUAAAAUACUUUGUGAUCAAGUAGAUUUCUUUGCUUUCACACCAAGUGGCCGGCUCACCAUACCCAUGGGUCAUCCCCAUGGGUUGCCCCAUGGGUUUUACCCAUUUAGUGACCCAUCGGUUCGAUCCACGGUUCGGUUUCUUGGAUCGGGCUUAAUCAACUCUAACAUUGGGCUUUAGUUUGGGCUUGUCGACGUCGGGAUUUUUUGAUGUCCCUUUUCGUUACUUGUUCUUCGGUGUUCUCAUGUUAAUGUGAGAUUUGUUUGAAAAAACAAGUGAAAAAGGUCCGACAUGUGUAAUGUCGUCGAUUUGACUUUAAGAGUCGCUAGUUGGUGUAUUUUAACUGGUUGCACCAACGCAACCGAAAAGGUUUACACAUUGACCUAGUGAUGUGACACUGUUAAACGGGUCUAUGAAACUGAGAUUCAUUAAGGGUUCAGGGGCUUGGUUAUGCGGAGGGAAGGUGUUAGGCAACCCCCGACAUCCGUGUUGCCACGGUGACCGCCACUUCUUAAAGAAACUGUUAUAUGAAUGUGUGUGUGUGUGUGUGUGGAUCAUUGUGCAAUUAUUUAAAAGUAGUGUUGUACCUCGUUCACACCUAUAUACAAGGGUUUGAAUUUAUAGAAAAAUUCAGUUUUAACCAGAUAUAGAAAUGAGGUUUUAUAAAAAAGGUUUUUCAAACCCUGUGCUCAAAAGUAAUUGAGGUCUUUGAUACUUCCAUUUUAUUAUCUAAAUGUUCGGCUUGUUUGCUUUUAUUUUUGAGAUGUGAGGCAUCUGCGAGAAAAUAAUAUACAACAGUGCCGAACUCCUUAUGGGCAUGACAACCAUCCAAGGAAAUUCAGACACUGUAAAUAAUGUACAAGCUACUCACAGCUGGAAAAUGUCCAUCAUGGGAACCGAAUCUAGAUUCAGUAGACUGAAUCUGUGAUCACAUGAUUCCUAGGCGCACAUGAUACUGUAAUUUGUAUGGAAAGAAGUAAGCAGUUAUGUAUAUAUAUAUAUAUAUAUAUAUAAGCUAUAAAUAUAUAUAUAUAUAUAUGUGUGUGUGCAUGAUCAACCACCACAAAGCAACUCCUUGGGGGAUCAGAAAUGUAAAUAAAGCAGUAAAUGCUAUCAACCGCCACGAAGUUAACUCCAGGCGGGACUUGAAUGUAAAUAAAGCUGUAAAAAGCUAUCAACUGCCACGAAGUGAACUCCAAGCAUGACAAAAUGUAAAGAAAGCUAUAAAAAGCCAUGGAGGAAACUCCAGGCCUGACAGGAAUGUAAAUAUAUAUAUAUAUAUAUAUAUAUAUAAGCAGUAAAUGCACCGGAUAUAAAUUCUAAGCUCAUCGGAUAUGUCUGACAACAGUUAUAUAUAUAAAUAUAUAUAUAAAAGCAAUUAAACGCACCGGAUGUAAAAUCCAGGCUCAUCAGACAGAGUCUGACCAUAGUUUAUAUAUAUACGUAUAUAUAUAUAUAAGCAAUUAAAUGCACCAGACCGAAGUCUAGGCUCAUCAGACAGAGUCUGACAACAGUUUAUAUAUAAAUAUAUAUAAAAAAGCCAAUAAAUGUUCCAGACCGAAGUCUAGGCUCAAUCGAGGCAUAACUCAAUAAUGUUAGUUCGUAUAAAAAUAUAUACAUAUAUAUAAGUAUAUAUAUAUAGACAGAAAUGAAAACCACGGACCGAAGUCCGGGCAAACACACUCACAGGACUCUCAACGUGUACAACAGUGUGUGAUAAUAUGAGAAGAAAGCUUUAUAGAAUGUGAGAAGGCUUACAGUGGGAUGCCAAAGUAGACUUCUAUGACUUUAUUUGGAUAACUACUCAGCUCCCACCGGAUAAAAGAUAGCUAUAUGUGAGCUAAUAGAAAAGAAAACACUCAAUAUGGGUGUGUACAAAGCAAAAUGGACAGGGCUUCUUCGCCUUUUCUCUCUCUUUUCCUCCUUCAAAUGGCUGACCCCAAGCCUUGUAUAUAUAGACGGAUGGCCGCAGGUGUACCUGCGGUAGCUGCAGUUAUACCUGCGGCUGGUCAUGGUGGGCCCGGGCUUCGCGGGUCCAGUAGUCUCGAAGUACGUACACUCAUGCACUGUAAUGUCCGCUCGAACUUGCAGAACAUCAAUCCGAGCUUCCGAAUGAGGAAUGUUUGACCUUCUUCGGAUAGCUUAUGUCGAGAGUUAUGUAAUGACAUGGAUUAGAGGUUGUACGAAGUCAGGAAGAGGGGACCAUGCCCAUUGUCUUCAAGCUUCAAACUCUAUCCAAAGUACUGCUACGCGUAAUAGUCACUCGGGAAUAGAUAUCCUAGUUCGUGAAGGACAUAGUUGUAUGUAUGUAUAUAUGAAGUGUUGAGAUGACGCGCAGGUGUUGAAAGGGGCAAGAUGAUGUUUGACUCUUUGCUGGGGUUAUCGCCGGUUUGAACUGAAAGUAGACGUUGCUCAGGGUUACAUCUGAGAUUGGACUACUUGUUGGUAUGCUGUGAUAUCAUCUUGUGAAAGGAAGUGUUGAAGUGGAAAGAUGACAUUUGACUCCUCACCGGGGUUAUCGUUGGUUUGAACGAAAAGCAGACGUUGCUCAGGGUUACAUCUGAGAUUAGACUGCUUAUUUGUGUGCUUCACUGUCAUCUGUGGGUGUGCCUGUCCGCCCGUUGUUAGCUCCGGGUCUGAGGUAUGAGUGCCUCAGCAGGAGGGCUGAGAUUGAAGUUGAUCGCAUGUGUUUUGAAACAAGCAUUUCUGGAGUUAUCGCCGGAACUGCAACAUCAUUCCUUGGGGUUAUCGCCAAGGACGAAACUCGGGGUUUUCUCCGAGGUUGGAAAUGAUCCUUCCGGUGUGUGUUCUGAGGUUGAGGAUGAGACUCCCGGUGUGUGUUUCAGGUUGAGACUGAUGUUCCCGGUGUGUGUUCCGGGUUGUGAACCGAUCCUCCGUUAGUAUCCAGAAUGGAUGUGAGUUGUCUUUUAGGGUUAUCUCCGAAAGAUGAUUCUGCCCUCCUAUAAUGUUAGUAACAGUUGUGCAAAAAAAUUUUGAGUGUCUACAGAUGCCCCUCUUUAUCAUAUUUAUGCAAUGCAAGGCAUGGAUAGGAUAAAGAAUCCUAGACACUUGAAAUGCAAGUGAAAUAAACAUGAUGCUUAUGUGCAGCAACAUGAUGCAAAUGUAUAAUGCAUGAUUGUCAUGUAAUCAUGCUGGGAUGACAAUCAGUGAUGGCUUGGACAUGGGAUCCAAGUCUUCAAGGAUGUUGAUGUUGGGACUAUCACCAAAGUCGUGAAUCCUAGACACUGGCUUAUAUUACAUAGAGGUACUUCUUGUAUGUAAGAGAUCUGUAGGGAUAAAGCUUUGUCUACUUAAGGAUGUGUAUAACAUAUUCCCUUAUCCCAUCGAAGUUAGUGCCAACAGUCGGUUGUUGUUAGGGUUGCUUAACCUUCGUUGAUGUAUGUAUCAUCAGAUAGAUUGUCAAGGUUGCUUGACCUUCAUUGAUGUGUGUAUCAAUGGUUGCAUUGCGUUGUAACCCCCGCCGGGGAUACGUGGAUGUCUGACAGAUGUGCGUUGUGACCCCCGCCGGGGAUACGUAUAUGUUUAAAACUUUGGCGUUGUAACCCCCGUCGGGGAUAUGUAUUUAAUUUGUAACUUCGGCGUUGUAACCCCAACCGGGGAUACGUUGAUGCUCGAAUUUCGUAGAUUCUGCGUUGUAACCCCUGCCGGGGAUACGUCAGGGUUGCCUGACACUCAUUGACGGCAUCGGACCUUUGUGGGGUAUUGCUGAGCAUGAUUUAUGAAAGCUGAGGCCACUGGUAUCGUAUACCUUUCAUGUAGGUGAAUACCAAUGUGGAACAUGUGGAGCCAGAGUUUGACACAUGAACACCAGGAUUCCGGGCUAUUCCGCUCAAUCGCGUAGCGCUUUUAUUCCUGAUUUGGACUUUUUAGCUUGCAAGACCUCCUUUGUAACUCUAACUAGAGCGAGCCGGAGGUGUGGGACCCAUGUAGGAGUGUUGCAGGUAGACCUGCAGCAGUCGCAGGUGGACCUGCAGCCAACCGUGGCUAUGUAAAGCCCAAAGGUUGCUUUCAUAAAUCAUUUUCAAGCUGCGCGACGAAGGAAAUCUGCGAGCUUCUCAUCAGACUUGUUGAGUUUGGGCAACUUUCUGCAUAAUCUGCUACCGUACAAGCGUUCUUCACUGUCCUGGUAAUGUAUGCAUGUAUUCUUUUCCAGUUUCUAUCUGUUGGAAAAUGACUUAUCAUAUGAAAUGCAUUUAGACACAUAGUAGUGAAUAUGCAUGCUGAUAUGACUUGAUAAAAAAUAUUCAACAUAGCAAAUGUUAGUAUUAAACCAUGCCGAACCUAAUGAUGUAAAAAAAUUUAACUUUUGAAACAGUCAAAUUUGCACCUUUUACUAUCAUUUCUUAUCCUAUCUGAGGACAAAUGAGUAAAGGUAGACAAGCAAAAUAAUCCUGGUAAUUAGACUACACUUACGGAUUUUUUACUGCAAUGUAUUAAAUGCAUAUAGGAUGUAUAUGACUGUGUAUAGGUGUGCUACUAAAUAGCCACCUAGUCAUGCCUAUGUGCAUGUGGAUAGUCCCAUUUACAAAGGGGCUAUGACAAAAUUUUCCCAAAAUGUAGGAAUGAUUAUUCAUUCAUUUUUAACUCUACUGUAUGUUAAAACAAUGCAUGCAUGUAUGUUAAAAAGCUCCAGGUAAGAAUUUACCACACCCUUUCUGAGGUGAUUUGGAGACUUGUUGUCCAGAUAUUAUGGAUCCGGAUCAGCUGAGUAGUUCCCGCAAGACUACUUCAGGUGUACGGAAGAGGGCUUCUGAAGAGCCUCAUCACCGUUCUAUUAGACAGCCUCGUCGUUUGGUGGAGGCGGUGAUACGUCCUAUCCGGUUUGAAGUGCAAGAUGUCGAGGAUGAGGAGGAGGAUGUACCAGUCGAGGUUCCUGCUCCUGUUGUACGUGUUCCCCGUAGGGAAUUGCCAGGAAUUCAAGUGGUGAACCUAGAUCUUCUGGGUAACUUGAGUCGGCAUCCUUCAGUAUACCUGCACACAAACGAGGUAUGAAGUUAGAUCUUAAUCGUCCUUGUUUCCUAUUGAUGAGGAGUAAAGGACUCUGAUGUUGAUCUGUAUUUGAUGUAGGUUCCCGGCUUCACACAGCCUCGAGGGAACUGGUUUAGCAUCCACUCUAUGUAUCAUGCCUUGUAUGAUGACUACAGAGCGAUUGUACAUGGCUGGAGAUUUGGAGCAUUUUUUUCCAUCCUUCCCCGUCGCUGUCCCUGGGGUUACCUCAGGGCAUUGUCUGAGCGGUGGUUUCACCAGACUCAGUCACUCCAUUUGCUGGACUGUGAGGUGAUGAUGACGCCGAUGGAUUGGCGGUUUAUCACAUGUAUGGAGUUUGGAGGGGAUCCAGUUCCUUGUACGACGGAUAUUACCCCUACUACUGUCAGAUCCUUGUUGGGAGUUCCGGCGGAGGCGCUCAAGGGCAGGACUGUUCGUACGGGUCCUUUGAGCAUAGAUGCUAUGAGCAGGCUGUUGAGUGAGCCCAUACCCAAUGAUGUAAGAGUUAGGGACCGCAUUCUUCGGCAAUUGUUCCUGAUAAUCAUUAGAGGCUGCUUCAUAGCAGAUAAUUACUCUACGGUGUCCUUCGCUUUGAUCAGUGCCACUAGACAUGUGGACCGUAUAGGAGACUAUGAUUGGGGUUCCUACACCUUUUCCUACUUCCUCAGGGGAAUACACAUGCGAUCACAGGGCUUGACCGAGGCGUGGUUAGGAUUCUUCCCAUUUCUACUAGUGAGUGUUUCUCUUGUCUUUUCCCGUGUACAGGUUAAGAGUGUUGACUGACAACAAAUGUUUGCCUUUGUGUUGGCAGUUUUGGGCCUAUGAGAGGCUUCCAUGUUUACGUCCUAUGAGUGUGUUAGGUUUAGACACCUAUCCACGAGGACGGCGAUGGCAUCAUUCCAUACUGGCGGAGGUCCCUGUUGCUGAGGUUUUCACUCAUUGUCGCCUACAUCUGGAGUUGUUGACAGCAGGUGUCAUCACAUGGGUUCCCUACUCUGGGGAGCAUUUAGGAGUUGGUUUUAAGAAUGGGUUCCUGACUGGAGUUGAGUACGUCUUUUCCACCCGCAGGAUUCCUCUCUUCACAGAUGGAGGAUGGGAGCUCUAUUUAGGAGAGCGUGCUAUCAGGAGCACUACAGGAGAGAUCCGUAUACCGAUCUUAUAUCCUGCCAGGCGUUAUUGGCCUGUUUCACAGUCUCCCGUCAUUGAUAUCCCAUUGUUGGGGAUUGACAGUUUUACUUUGUCAGAGGGCCCCUGUACUCAAGAGUUGUUCCAGCAUUGGUGGAUCCCUCGUACCAUUGGAGCUUAGACCCGCGCCACACAGUUUAUGGGGGAUAUGGUUCCAAGAUCCGUGAUGAUGACGGAUUGGCUAUCCUGUGUUAGAGAUCCUACUCAUGUGACACAAAUUGAUAGAUUGACCCAUCAGUUGGAUCGGGCACAUUUCUUCAUCCAACAUUUGGGCAGAGAUCCUUCAGAGGCAAAUACAUUUGAUCCUUCCAGCUCUGGCGCUGGCCCCUCAGGUGACCCAUAUGGUUUUGCCAGUACAGAUCCUCCAUUGUAUAGGCCUGGCAUCCCUGUAGAUAGAGAUCCAGUGACUCAGGAGGAGUUACAUCAGGUGGAUAGCAUCGAUGAUGUAGACAUUGACACUAUUGACUUUUUCUGUUGUAUUUUUCAUUAUCUCUUUUGAUAGGCCUCUGUUAGCUGCUGGGUAGCUUCGCCCCAUUCUCGCUAUAUCUUUUGAUAGGCCUCUGUUAGCUGCUGGGUAGCUUCGCCCCAUUCUCGCUAUAUCUUUUGAUAGGCCUCUGUUGAGUUGUUGGGUAGCUUCGCCCCAUUUCCCUGUAUUUUAGUUGUACAGAGAUGUAUUAGAUGGUGAUAUACUUAAGAAUGUAUGUACAUUUUCAUUCCCUAUAUCAUAUUUCCAUCUAUUGUAUCAUGCAUGUUAUUUUUAUGCAUAUGUAUGUAUGUCCAGAGAUAUUCAGCAUUGACCCCUGGAUGGUCUUAUGACACGGCCCGUAUAGAUGUCUUCUUCGACAGUUAGCCGUAUUGAUCAUACCCCACCAUUUUUGGUGGUAGCUGGUAUUCGCUCAUGGUAUGAUAGUAUAUCACCAUUAGACAUAGUGAUCGUAGAUGAUUUGCUGCAGCAUACUAUGACCCUGUUGAUGUUUCAGGUUCCCACAGGAUUUGUAGAGGGUAUGCUCGAGCACUGGGUAUCGAAGAGGCAGGUUUUCCGAUUUGGGACCCAGGAGCUGACUCCUACUUUGGAGGAGUAUGCACGUUUGACGAUGUUGUCGCUGGACAGACCUUGCGUGCAUAUGGCUAUUGGAGACAUGAGUAGAUAGUUCAUGACCCUCACCAGAUUGAGACGUAGAGUGGUAGAGGAUGAGAUUACAUCUAGCCAUGUGAUAUCCCAACGUUUUCUGUUUGAUAGAUUUGUCUCUGAGGAUAGUUAUGCACGGCAUUCUGGGGAUUUCACUACACCGGAGGACCAUUGGCGUUCAGCCAGAGUGGAUGUAUUGUUGUUGUGCGUAUUGUCAUACGUCUACAUGCCACGAUAUAUGGAUGAGCUGGAUAUCGGCGUCAUUAUGGCAGUGAGAGCUCUCAAGGAGGGUCGUACUAGUAUACCGAUGAUUAUUGUAGAGACUCUGAGGUCAGCUACAUACUGCUGCACUUAUCCGGCAGGAGUGUUCACAUGUAGUUCGGUCAUGUUGUAUGUGUGGUUUAUGUCACACUUGAGACCGAUUGGCACAUUCAGACGACAGGGGUUUUGCUUCACCCAUGAUAUAGUCGGGUCAUACUCCUUUUAGCCUAUAGAGUGUACAGAUUCUGCAUCGUGGUCAACUUUUCUGGCAGGGAUUAGAGACCCAUUUCUUAUAUUGUCGUGUUCAGGGCUUAGCUCACCCUAUAGCUUCAUUACUCAUGCUCCGGGCAUGGAUUACCUCCCUCUGGCUGGAUUGAGGGGCAUGAUUACUUACCACCCACUGGCCAUGAUGUGUCAGUUUGACUAGUUUCAGGAUUUUUAUCCUUAUAAGGGGGUAGUGAGUCAGCGCUUCGCUUCAUACCAUUUAUCAGCGGAGGACAGAUCCAGAUUGUAUGCCUGUUGGGAUCAACAAGAGCUAGAUGAGUUUUCUGUCAGUCAUCUAGGUUGUUCUGCAGAGUAUUCCGCAUAGAUGGAGACAGAGACUGCAUCGGCUGCUGCAGUAUCCACAGUGCAGGGGAUUGAUUCUGACGAUGAGGAGCCUAUAGAGGAGGCUGACAUUCCCAUCGAUGAUUUGACUACUGGGCUGCCAGCAUUUGUGAUGUAUUCGCCCACCCCGAGUGCCACUGUUACUCAGUAUUCGGCACAGCAUCUGGAGCAGAGCUUACAUCUGAUGACCUAUGAGAGAGAUCAUGUUAGGGCCGUGAUGUUUACAGCUCUUGAUGGGAGAGACGCCGCUUUGUUAGAGAGGGAUGAGGCUAGAUUAGCCAGGGAUGCAUUGAUAGUGGAGCGGGAUGCCGCCUUAUCUGUUAGGGAUGUGACCAUCACAGACAGUACUUCAGUUAGAUCCUAGAUGAUUGUCAGUCUUGCCGACAUGAGUACUUACAUUGAUGAACAUUAUGCCACCAUGUAGGUAGCCUCUGACCUGCUAGCUCGUAUAGAUACCCUUGGGCAAAGCUUUAAGUGCUACCUCCAUCUUCAGAGAGGGAUGCCAUGUUAUAUCUGAUAGUUCGCAUAUAUACAGAUCUGUAGAUAGCUUUGUAUUUUCCUGCACAGACUAGCUUUGCCAUUUUGUCAUGUACAUCACAUAUGUAUAUAUCAAACAGUAUUAUGUAUGGCAGGGAAAUAUAUUUUGAUUCACUUCCCUUUUAGUUAUGCCUUGAUACUUUCUUGAUAUUUGCCUAUUUCUUCAGGGCCUUGUGAUCUUGAUGCAUUCUAAACUUAUCCUUAAUAGGUGGACAUUAAGACGUCGCAAGAUCUCUCAGAAUGGAUCAUUGAUUUCUGUAUAUCCCUACCAUCUUUGGUGUCUUGGGACUGGUAUCUGUAUGAAAUGUGGAGAGGAGAAUGGUUUCUUCCUCUCUGAGAUUGACCGCACCACAGAUGGUCGCCAGUACUUCUAUUUAUGAGAAGCCUAGUUAAUUCCAUCUCUUAUGGGUUGGUAUUGCUCUUCGAGGAACGAUCGCAGCUUAGAUGGUCACCGAAUCUUCUAUUUGUGAGAAGAGGUUAGGUAAUUCCAUCUCUUUAAUCUAAAACCAAUGAAAUGUGGUGAAGUGAAGGUUGAUCCCAAUACCGUGUGACAAAUAUUUUAGUUCUGGUAGGGGUUAGACUGAACCAUAAAUGGCUGCCUACGUACUCCUAUUGAAGAAGAGAUCAAGUCUGCGUAGUUCGAACCUGGUGUACGAGGUUCAACGCUGAAUGUGAAAGACGGAUAUGUGUAGAAAUGUUUUUGUUGUUUUUUUUUUUGUGAAGAAAAGGCAGAAAUGUUUUUGUUGUUUUUUUUAUUGCAACCGGGCUAUAUAGAAUAUGGUUACCUACGUACUCCUAUUGAAGAGGAGAUCUGUGACGCCCCCAAAUCCGGGUACUUGAAACCCGAAUUCAGUGCUUCACGAUACCAUCUCUAUAACUAGAAUAAUACUAAUAGUAAUGCCAAUAAUAUAAAUAUUAAACUUAACUUACAUAAUUAUCAAAGUUUUAACUCCCAAGUACGUAACCUUAAAUCAUUCCUUACAACACGUGAUCAUAAAUAUAUAACAUUGUCUUAAUAAUAUUAAACUAUCACACAGAUAACAUUGUCAUCAUUCAGCAACCUUUCCUUUUCCCUUGUUUCUAGCAGAGCCUUCAGAGUGUUCACACUUAGCUGAAAUAUUUACAUAAGCAAGGAUGAGCAUUUGAGUGCCCAGCAAGUAAUAGCAAUUAUAUAUAUAGAAGCUGAAGGAAUUUAAAUGCUUUGUUUAUACUACCCUUCUACAACGGAUCAAUAGUUGUGAAGUAAUUCUGAACCAAUAAUAAUAAUAAUUCUCUUUCAAAUCUUUGUGUACCGACUAUAAAUAAGUUUUAGGGGACAUACUAUGAACAUUGUUUUCAUUUUCAAAAAGGUUAUACAGAACUUCAUCUGUAAACCGUCGUAACUUACGGGCACGGAGGGUGAUCAACCCGUUGUACCCUGUAUUGAUCAAUACUACAUUGCUAGAACAAUAUUAUCGUUCAUUCUUUGUCCGCCGUAGCGCAUAAAAAUUUUCCCAUGUUCGGGAUGUUCAUACUUGUCAGGGUUCCAAACAAAAGGUUUUAUCUUAUCCAACAAUAAUCUAUAAUUCAACAUAUAUGUAUAUAUCAAAGGUGUAUCAACAAGUGUUUAAAUGCAAUGAUUAUCCAAGUGGGAACACUUGUUUAACCAUUUAUAGAAAUUAACGAACAGAGAAUAUAUAUCUGAAUACCAUAUACUAACAUGUUGAUAAUCAAUGGGCAUAUAUAAUAUAGAUUAAUAAUCUGUACAGUAAUAAUAUAAUUCUGAAACAUUCUUACUCAUGUCCAUUGCAUAAAGGAAAUGCAAA